Molecule: ribosomal RNA, 522 nt
Filed under: Zodarion merlijni
Lineage: Eukaryota; Metazoa; Arthropoda; Arachnida; Araneae; Zodariidae
Description: eukaryotic LSU rRNA
Source: RNAcentral
GGCUUCCCGGGACCGGGUGCCGUCCGGUGCAGCGUACGGUUUCGCCGCCGACGCAUUUGACUCCCUUCCGAGGGACGCCGCAGCCGAUUGGGUAGCUGCAAGCGCGACGGCCAGAGAGGAGGGAGCCGGCAGGUGGCCGGUGGAGGGACUCGUUCCUUCCGCCGGUUGUUAGCCUUCCCUUCGGUGGCACGUCACCCGAUCGAGGUACCACUAAGCCCCGUAACGGGGCUUCUUCGACUCCUCCGUAGGAUGCGGGACAUACCGUCGCAGGCGUGGCCCCGUCGCAUGUCGCACUCCGAGCGAGUGGGCGAGCGUGAGGGACGCAUCGUUGGCGACGGCGGACCCGUGCGGAGAAUCGGAGGCUGGCGGCGAGUAGGUCGGUCACCCACCCGACCCGUCUUGAAACACGGACCAAGGAGUCUAACAUGUGCGCGAGUCGUCGGGUCUUGUUCAGGCCCGUAGGCGCAAUGAAAGCGAAGGCCUUCCUCGCGUCGGCCGAGUCGGGAUCCCCGGGCUCGUCCC